CGGAGGGUGCAAGCGUUAUCCGGAUUCACUGGGUUUAAAGGGUGUGUAGGCGGAUAUUUAAGUCAGUGGUGAAAUCUCCGGGCUCAACCCGGAAACUGCCAUUGAUACUAUUUAUCUUGAAUAUCGUUGAGGUUGGCGGAAUAUAUCAUGUAGCGGUGAAAUGCAUAGAUAUGAUAUAGAACACCGAUUGCGAAGGCAGCUAACUAAACGAUUAUUGACGCUGAGGCACGAAAGCGUGGGGAUCAAACAGGAUUAGAUACCCUGGUAGUCCACGCCCUAAACUAUGAUUACUCGACAUACGCGAUACACAGUGUGUGUCUGAGCGAAAGCAUUAAGUAAUCCACCUGGGAGUACGUCCGCAAGGAUG
RNAcentral lists this ribosomal RNA (367 nucleotides) under uncultured organism. RNAcentral's name for it is "bacterial SSU rRNA". It matches the Rfam family "Bacterial small subunit ribosomal RNA", at positions 526 to 896 of the family's 1533-position model. The record is from RNAcentral.